GCAAAAUCACCAGUGUUAAAUUUUCAGGGAUGGUGUUAAAUACACAGUGUUGAUGCUGUUUUAACACUAUCUGGUAAUAAAAUAACACUGCCAUUGCUAGGCCAGUGUUAUAUUCACAACAGUGUCAGUGUUAAACAAGGGUGUUAUCAGAUUUCACUCUGAGCGGUGUAAAUCAAGCCACGCCUCCACUAAACAUAUCCUGUCAGGGAUUUUACCGCCAUUUUCUUUCACAGGAGGACUGAAGAGAUCAGGUAAAUCAGUCUCAUAAUAUUCACAUGGUUUAGCUAAAUUAAACUGUUAUUUCUCUGUCUGACUCUACGCAGCCAUAUGCCAAAAAACCUAAAUAAGAUAUUUUUCCCAUUUUAUUUCCCCUUUGUUCGUUAUUUGGUUCAGUUUAAUCAGAGCUACCUUGUGUUACGUUGUUCCCUUGUUAGUUUAGUAUAAAGUUAAACUGCUAGCUAAAAGUUUAAAACCAAGAAGGAUAAUAUUAAGAGGAGAUAUGAACGAAAGAAUUGAACCAUGAUAAAACGCGACAUGCACUACAAAUUGAAGGUAUGAAAUUAAGUUAAAUGAAAGCUCGUUUAUUCACCAUAUGAUGCUCUUUAUGAGGUAAUCAUAUAGGCUAGAUACCGUGAGUUAACGAGGUCGUUUACAUGCACGUGAGUGCACGGAUAUCGGUUAAUUAUUCAAAUUACUAAAAAACACGGAGAAAACCGCAACCGCAACGUCAUGUGUUUUUCUAAGAUGUAUGCAAACAGGGGAAAUAUCGCCAAACCAACAAUUAAUUUGACCAAAACCUCACAAUAUAUCAUCAUUUGUAUGCACAGAUUGGAUGCAUUGUGUGUUGUAAGGUUUUCGUGGCGCUAGAUGUCAGACAGAUGCAAAUGGCAAAUACAUACGAAAGUGUAAAACGUGUAUGGCGAACAUUUGUUUUUCUGUCAUUAUAGAUGCUAGUUUGGUGAAAGUACACACUAAGUGCUUCAAAUCAUUCAGAAGAGAUGCUGUUUUUAGGGCAGUUUAUUAAAGAAGACCUGACAUGGAUGACUUCCAAUGAGAAACAACUGCUAAUACUUAUAUAAAUUCAUUACAGAAGGACCCUACCAGACUAUAUUUGAAUACGGCAUACCCAUGAAUUCUGGAACUGUUAUUCCUUAACCCAGUUUGGAGGAUAAGAGCUUACCAACUAGUUAUAAAUAUGCUGAGGUGAUGUAUUGCAAAAUAGCCAACAUACAACAAUAUGGAUGACCCUCUGUCUGGUCAACAGGAGUUUAAAUAUGGACGGGACAGUUAUGUGGCAGCUCUUCUCUGGCUCAUUCACCUCUUGCCUUCAUUUGUGAAAGGAAGAAAGAAGAAAGAGGGUCAAUGUGCAACUGAAGCUACUGAUUGUGCUAUGUGAUGAGCAUCAAUCCAUGCUUUGAGGGGGAUGAAUCAGCACAGCCCUGCCUGCACUGCGUUGGGAACAGAAGUUGCAUCCAGAAUUUUUGCAUCAUUCUGGACCAAAACGCCAUUCCCUCCAUGAUGAAGACCACUGAUGCAGCCUUCCACUACAUCAUGAGUAAAACAACUACAGAACUAAAUACCAGGUUGGAACGUAUUUAAGAAAAAUGAAACGUCUUUUGAAUUGAAAUGUCUGUUUUGUUAUGGAAAAAUCUUUAGUAUUGUGAAGGAUAAGCAUUUCUGCCUGCCAGUAAGGUAAUUGCAGUGUAUUUUAAUGUUCAAGUUUUGAGUAGGGUGGCUAAUUUUUUUUAAACUCUCAUUUGAUAUAUUAAAGACCUUAUAAUAAGUGGUUUUCAUGUCACUGCGCUGUGGUAUAAGAUAACUUUCAUUAUUCCAUACUGUAUUCUGUAUUCUAAUUGUAGCUGAGGUAUUUAAAUAAGCAGUAUUAAAUGCAAAGUGUUGUGUGUAUCAAUGUAAAUAUUAAAUGUGAUGUACUUUAAUAAAAAGAGGUUUUGCAAUAUUUCUUGUCAUUUGUCUUUUAUAGAAACAACCCAUUAGCAACAAAAGUGGCUAUUAAUCAGUAUUUUA
This is a long non-coding RNA of Paramisgurnus dabryanus, 2025 nucleotides long. RefSeq lists it as uncharacterized. NCBI's taxonomy places the organism in Eukaryota, Metazoa, Chordata, Actinopteri, Cypriniformes, Cobitidae. The record is from RefSeq and is a predicted model, not a curated record.